GAUGAACGCUGGCGGCGUGCCUAAUACAUGCAAGUCGAGCGAACGGACGAGAAGCUUGCUUCUCUGAUGUUAGCGGCGGACGGGUGAGUAACACGUGGAUAACCUACCUAUAAGACUGGGAUAACUUCGGGAAACCGGAGCUAAUACCGGAUGAUAUUUUGAACCGCAUGGUUCAAAAGUGAAAGACGGUCUUGCUGUCACUUAUAGAUGGAUCCGCGCUGCAUUAGCUAGUUGGUAAGGUAACGGCUUACCAAGGCAACGAUGCAUAGCCGACCUGAGGGGGGGAUCGGCACAACUGGAACUGGGACACGGCCCAGACCCCUAAGGGAGGCAGCAGUGGGGAAUCUUCCGAAAUGGGCGAAAGCCUGACGGAGCAACGCCGCGGGAGUGAUGAAGGUCUUCGGAUCGUAAAACUCUGUUAUUAGGGAAGAAAAUAUGUGUAAGUAACGGUGCACAUCUGGGCGGUACCUAAACAGAAAGCCACGGCAAACUACGU
RNAcentral lists this ribosomal RNA (496 nucleotides) under uncultured bacterium. RNAcentral describes it as "partial 16S ribosomal RNA". It matches the Rfam family "Bacterial small subunit ribosomal RNA", at positions 28 to 506 of the family's 1533-position model. The record is from RNAcentral.